CUUCUGACUUUGGACGCUUGAAGUGUGAUCGUGAAUUUUGAUUGUAUAGCGUAUUUUGUAUCUUUAAAAGUGAUUAUGACAGUACAAUUAAAUUUUAAGUGCUAACCUAUUUGUGACAAACCUCAUUGUAACUAGUUAGAAUACUGGAUCUUCAGCAUCACAUCCUCAUGAAAAAUUGACGUUUAUGAACUGCUGCCACAAACUUUUAGCAUCAUAAAAGUGAACAUUUUCUUAAUCUCACUUGCUUGUAAGGGGUUUCCUGCCUGUUGUGAGCGAAACGUGCGGCAGCGGUGUGGAGCUCCGCUGCGCUGCCCGCUGCCGCCCCCGACCCAGGGGUUGGAGGAAUGACACCUCACACCUCGCCCUCGCUAGCCCACUGCGAUACGCCGCGUAAGGAGCUGCUACCGGGCAAACCAACACAACCGACAGUCCGUGAGAAAGCGUCAUAUAGAGCGAAGGAUUGUCAUCUGCUUUCCGAACUGUUGGAGUUAUCGAACAGAUCGAGAAAUACUGAACACCCUCGGUGCGUUUCGUUCAUGCAAACAGUUUAAUGGACAUUUUACUUUCACGUUUUCCUCUCCGACGUUAAAACUGAUCUCAAUAGAAGUUCGCAGUAGCAUCGAACAUUAUUUGUGAAAGUCAAGACGCAAUCCGCUUUUUGUAAAUAAAAAUAGACCCCUGCAGUUGAUUUGUGCGUUUUUUAUUUUUCUUAGUAUGUUAACUUUUGUAGUCAGUAAACCUUUUCUGCUUAAAUGUAGUUGGUUCGAAAUUUCUGAGCCCCUUUUUAACAGAUUGUCUAUUAAAGUGUAAGAUUUCGCCCUACUACAGCUACAAAAAAUGGCACAGAAGCUACUGAAAUCAAUGUUUUUUGCCAAGUAUCUUUUCUUAAUUGUGUAACAAUUUCUGUUGAAUUGUCGAUGUUGUAUUAAUGUUCCACUUGUCUUUUAAAAAUAAACUGCAUUAGAUUUUUAA
Molecule: long non-coding RNA, 972 nt
Organism: Schistocerca piceifrons (Central American locust)
Lineage: Eukaryota; Metazoa; Arthropoda; Insecta; Orthoptera; Acrididae
Exons: 5
Source: RefSeq, a predicted model, not a curated record